GAUGAACGCUGGCGGCGUGCCUAAUACAUGCAAGUCGAGCGAACAGACGAGGAGCUUGCUCCUCUGACGUUAGCGGCGGACGGGUGAGUAACACGUGGAUAACCUACCUAUAAGACUGGGAUAACUUCGGGAAACCGGAGCUAAUACCGGAUAAUAUAUUGAACUGCAUGGUUCAAUAGUGAAAGACGGUUUUGCUGUAACUUAUAGAUGGAUCCGCGCCGCAUUAGCUAGUUGGUAAGGUAACGGCUUACCAAGGCAACGAUGCGUAGCCGACCUGAGAGGGUGAUCAGCCACACUGGAACUGAGACACGGUCCAGACUCCUACGGGAGGCAGCAGUAGGGAAUCUUCCGCAAUGGGCGAGAGCCUGACGGAGCAACGCCGCGUGAGUGAUGAAGGUCUUCGGAUCGUAAAACUCUGUUAUUAGGGAAGAACAAGUGUGUAAGUAACUAUGCACGUCUUGACGGUACCUAAUCAGAAAGCCACGGCUAACUACGUG
RNAcentral lists this ribosomal RNA (497 nucleotides) under uncultured bacterium. Its description in RNAcentral is "partial 16S ribosomal RNA". It matches the Rfam family "Bacterial small subunit ribosomal RNA", at positions 28 to 507 of the family's 1533-position model. The record is from RNAcentral.